UGCACCUAAAAGCUAAGGUUGCAAUCUGAAGAAAAAGAAGAACAAGAAGAGAAAAAGUUGUCGCUCAUUCAUAGUUCAGCGCUGUUCAACUUUACAUGUGGCCAAAACAAAACGUAGACUUGUCUUGUGAGGCCUUAAGCUGCCAACCAGAGAACUGGAAGAAGCGACAGCCUGCGAGGGAGCAGUUAGCAUCAGAGCUAACUGAGAAGCUAACGGCCAGAGAAGUUUCCUGUUAGAGGAAAAGG
This is a long non-coding RNA of Fundulus heteroclitus (mummichog), 245 nucleotides long. RefSeq lists it as uncharacterized. The transcript has 2 exons. NCBI's taxonomy places the organism in Eukaryota, Metazoa, Chordata, Actinopteri, Cyprinodontiformes, Fundulidae. The record is from RefSeq and is a predicted model, not a curated record.